UUGCCCUAGUAACGGCGAGUGAAGCGGCAACAGCUCAAAUUUGAAAUCUGGCUUCGGCCCGAGUUGUAAUUUGCAGAGGAAGCUUUAGGCGCGGCACCUUCUGAGUCCCCUGGAACGGGGCGCCAUAGAGGGUGAGAGCCCCGUAUAGUUGGAUGCCUAGCCUGUGUAAAGCUCCUUCGACGAGUCGAGUAGUUUGGGAAUGCUGCUCAAAAUGGGAGGUAAAUUUCUUCUAAAGCUAAAUACCGGCCAGAGACCGAUAGCGCACAAGUAGAGUGAUCGAAAGAUGAAAAGCACUUUGAAAAGAGGGUUAAAUAGCACGUGAAAUUGUUGAAAGGGAAGCGCUUGUGACCAGACUUGCGCCGGGCUGAUCAUCCGGUGUUCUCACCGGUGCACUCUGCCCGGCUCAGGCCAGCAUCGGUUCUCGCGGGGGGAUAAAGGUUCCGGGAAUGUAGCUCCUCCGGGAGUGUUAUAGCCCGGGGCGUAAUGCCCUCGCGGGGACCGAGGUUCGCGCUCUGCAAGGAUGCUGGCGUAAUGGUCAUCAGCGACCCGUCUUGAAACACGGACCAAGGAGUCAAGGUUUUGCGCGAGUGUUUGGGUGUAAAACCCGCACGCGUAAUGAAAGUGAACGUAGGUGAGAGCUUCGGCGCAUCAUCGACCGAUCCUGAUGUUUUCGGAUGGAUUUGAGUAAGAGCGUUAAGCCUUGGACCCGAAAGAUGGUGAACUAUGCUUGGAUAGGGUGAAGCCAGAGGAAACUCUGGUGGAGGCUCGCAGCGGUUCUGACGUGCAAAUCGAUCGUCAAAUCUGAGCAU
This 809-nucleotide ribosomal RNA is filed under the name Amesomyces nigricolor. RNAcentral describes it as "eukaryotic LSU rRNA". It matches the Rfam family "Eukaryotic large subunit ribosomal RNA", at positions 75 to 918 of the family's 3401-position model. Lineage: Eukaryota; Fungi; Ascomycota; Sordariomycetes; Sordariales; Chaetomiaceae. The record is from RNAcentral.